This 497-nucleotide ribosomal RNA is filed under the name uncultured bacterium. Its description in RNAcentral is "partial 16S ribosomal RNA". It matches the Rfam family "Bacterial small subunit ribosomal RNA", at positions 28 to 507 of the family's 1533-position model. The record is from RNAcentral.
GAUGAACGCUGGCGGCGUGCUUAAUACAUGCAAGUCGAGCGAACAGACGAGGAGCUUGCUCCUCUGACGUUAGCGGCGGACGGGUGAGUAACACGUGGAUAACCUACCUAUAAGACUGGGAUAACUUCGGGAAACCGGAGCUAAUACCGGAUAAUAUAUUGAACCGCAUGGUUCAAUAGUGAAAGACGGUUUUGCUGUCACUUAUAGAUGGAUCCGCGCCGCAUUAGCUAGUUGGUAAGGUAACGGCUUACCAAGGCAACGAUGCGUAGCCGACCUGAGCGGGUGAUCGGCCACACGGGAACGGAGACACGGUCCAGACUCCUACGGGAGGCAGCAGUAGGGAAUCUUCCGCAAUGGGCGAAAGCCUGACGGAGCAACGCCGCGUGAGUGAUGAAGGUCUUCGGAUCGUAAAACUCUGUUAUUAGGGAAGAACAAAUGUGUAAGUAACUAUGCACGUCUUGACGGUACCUAAUCAGAAAGCCACGGCUAACUACGUG